GAGGAAAGAGUAUGAAAGAGGGGCAAAAAAGAAUGAUAUGUUGGCAGCAUUAUUGGCAGGGGAUGAUAAAUUUUCAGAUGAACAAAUAGUGGAUUUUUUGGUAGCAUUGCUUGUUGCUGGUUAUGAAACAACUUCAACUAUCAUGACUCUUGCUGUCAAGUUCUUGACUGAGACACCUCUUGCUUUGGCUCAACUCAAGGUAUGUCUUCAUUCCUUUUUAAAUAUUGAAAUUUUGUUAAAUUUGGCUUUGGUCCCUCUAGUGCAGUGCAUUUAGUUUUCAGUUUUUCUUCAUGCUACAAUAUCGUUAUAAUAUCUAAUAUAAAUACACCGUUCAUCCAAAUAAACCCUAAAUUUUCUAUUUAAGUAUAGUAAAAAAAUCAAAAUUAUAAUUUAACCUACAAAAAUUUCAUAGUGGGGGAUCUUAAGAAAAGAAAGUAAUAAAUCUAAAAAAUUGGGGCAUUGCUUUUUCUCAAGUAAUCAAUUUUCAUAACCUUAAAAAAGUAAAUAAAAAGCCUUUACAAAGCAUUCACACAUGAAAUAAUGAGAUGAUUAAAUCACAUGGCCUUACUUUACUUAUUAAAAGUAU
Molecule: long non-coding RNA, 586 nt
Filed under: Gossypium barbadense (sea-island cotton)
Lineage: Eukaryota; Viridiplantae; Streptophyta; Magnoliopsida; Malvales; Malvaceae
Description: long non-coding RNA (GBAR_LNC009796)
Source: RNAcentral